RNAcentral lists this ribosomal RNA (376 nucleotides) under uncultured bacterium. Its description in RNAcentral is "bacterial SSU rRNA". It matches the Rfam family "Bacterial small subunit ribosomal RNA", at positions 28 to 393 of the family's 1533-position model. The record is from RNAcentral.
GACGAACGCUGGCGGCGUGCCUAACACAUGCAAGUCGUACGGGACUAAGGGGGCAACUCUUUAGUUCAGUGGCAGACGGGUGCGUAACACGUGAGGAACCUGUCCGGUGGCGGGGGAUAGCCGGCCCAACGGCCGGGUAAUACCGCAUACGCUCGUUUGGGGGCAUCCCUGAGCGAGGAAAGCAGCCGCAAGGUUGCGCCGACGGAGGGUCUCGCGGCCUAUCAGCUUGUUGGCGGGGUCAACGGCCCACCAAGGCGACGACGGGUAGCUGGUCUGAGAGGAUGAUCAGCCACAUUUGGGACUGAGACACGGCCCAGACUCCUACGGGAGGCAGCAGUGGGGAAUAUUGCGCAAUGGCCGCAAGGCUGACGCAGCG